UAAUGCAAGAGCAGCAAGAUGGCUGAUCUAUGCUUGCAGCGGAUUUGAGAAGGUUUUGAACAACCACCACAGCAGCAGCCGCCCACACGGAGUAGAGCAGAGAGUUUAAAGCAGUAAAAGUUGUUCUUAAUUUC
Lacerta agilis (Sand lizard) is the source of this 134-nucleotide long non-coding RNA. RefSeq lists it as uncharacterized. The record is from RefSeq and is a predicted model, not a curated record. The transcript has 2 exons. Lineage: Eukaryota; Metazoa; Chordata; Lepidosauria; Squamata; Lacertidae.